RNAcentral lists this unclassified non-coding RNA (253 nucleotides) under uncultured Sporolactobacillaceae bacterium. Its description in RNAcentral is "contains 16S-23S intergenic spacer region". It matches the Rfam family "Bacterial small subunit ribosomal RNA", at positions 524 to 776 of the family's 1533-position model. Lineage: Bacteria; Bacillati; Bacillota; Bacilli; Caryophanales; Sporolactobacillaceae. The record is from RNAcentral.
UACGUAGGUGGCAAGCGUUGUCCGGAAUUAUUGGGCGUAACGCCCGCGCAGGCGGUCUCGUAAGUCUGAUGUGAAAGCCCACGGAUCAACCGUUGAGGGUCAUUGGAAAAUGGGAGACUUGAGUGUAGGAGAGGAAAGUGGAAUUCCGCGUGUAGCGGUGAAAUGCGUAGAUAUGUGGAGGAACACCAGUGGCGAAGGCGACUUUCUGGCCUACACCUGACGCUGAGGCGCGAAAGCGUGGGGAGCAAACAGG